Molecule: ribosomal RNA, 253 nt
Filed under: uncultured bacterium
Lineage: Bacteria
Description: partial 16S ribosomal RNA
Rfam family: Bacterial small subunit ribosomal RNA
Source: RNAcentral
UACGAAGGGGGCUAGCGUUGUUCGGAAUUACUGGGCGUAAAGCGCACGUAGGCGGCUUUGUAAGUUAGAGGUGAAAGCCCGGGGCUCAACUCCGGAAUUGCCUUUAAGACUGCAUCGCUAGAAUUGUGGAGAGGUAAGUGGAAUUCCGAGUGUAGAGGUGAAAUUCGUAGAUAUUCGGAAGAACACCAGUGGCGAAGGCGACUUACUGGACACAUAUUGACGCUGAGGCGCGAGAGCGUGGGGAGCAAACAGG